This 408-nucleotide ribosomal RNA is filed under the name uncultured rumen bacterium. RNAcentral describes it as "bacterial SSU rRNA". It matches the Rfam family "Bacterial small subunit ribosomal RNA", at positions 509 to 916 of the family's 1533-position model. The record is from RNAcentral.
CAGCAGCCGCGGUAAUACAGAGGGUGCAAGCGUUAAUCGGAAUUACUGGGCGUAAAGCGUGCGUAGACGGUUACAUAAGUCGGGUGUGAAAGCCCCGGGCUCAACCUGGGAAUUGCAUUCGAGACUGCGUAGCUAGGGUGCGGAAGAGGGAAGCGGAAUUUCCGGUGUAGCGGUGAAAUGCGUAGAUAUCGGAAGGAACACCAGUGGCGAAAGCGGCUUCCUGGUCCAGCACCGACGUUCAGGCACGAAAGCGUGGGGAGCAAGCAGGAUUAGAUACCCUGGUAGUCCACGCCAUAAACGAUGAGAACUAGACGUUGAAGGGGUAAGCCCUCCAGUGUCGUAGCUAACGCGCUAAGUUCUCCGCCUGGGGAGUACGGCCGCAAGGUCGAAACUCAAAGAAAUUGACGG